Molecule: transfer RNA, 73 nt
Filed under: Chlamydiia bacterium
Lineage: Bacteria; Pseudomonadati; Chlamydiota; Chlamydiia
Description: tRNA-Ala
Rfam family: tRNA
About the family: Transfer RNA (tRNA) molecules are approximately 80 nucleotides in length. Their secondary structure includes four short double-helical elements and three loops (D, anti-codon, and T loops).
Source: RNAcentral
GGGGGGUUAGCUCAGUUGGUAGAGCGUCUGAUUUGCAUUCAGAAGGUCAGGAGUUCGACUCUCCUACUCUCCA